GAGGGUGUAGCUCAGCGAAAGAGCAUGUGCUCAGCAUGCACGAUGUCCUGGGUUCGAUCCCCAGUGCCUCCA
RNAcentral lists this transfer RNA (72 nucleotides) under Camelus bactrianus (Bactrian camel). It matches the Rfam family "tRNA". Rfam says of the family: Transfer RNA (tRNA) molecules are approximately 80 nucleotides in length. The record is from Rfam by way of RNAcentral. RNAcentral also lists the same sequence under 2 other names. Lineage: Eukaryota; Metazoa; Chordata; Mammalia; Artiodactyla; Camelidae.